RNAcentral lists this ribosomal RNA (547 nucleotides) under Pinnularia borealis complex sp. RNAcentral describes it as "partial 28S ribosomal RNA". Lineage: Eukaryota; Bacillariophyta; Bacillariophyceae; Sellaphorales; Pinnulariaceae. The record is from RNAcentral.
AAGGAAGCGAACGAAGCUAGUGAAAGCUGCGUCAUACUUUCCAACUUGCUYGCAACUUGGACGCUGUGGCCAGCCCAGUUGGGCUUGAUUGCAACAGGUGAAAGCAGGUAAAGAAAAGAUUCCAUUUUCUCUCGCCCUUGUUACAUUUAUUGCAUUUGAGCUGAACAAAAUAGAUUUGUUUGCCCCGUCUAGAAACACGGACCAAGGAGUCUAACAUAUGUGCGAGUACUGGGGCAACAAACCUCGGUGCGCAAUGAAAGUGUCAGAGGCUGGAAUGUCUUGUACAUUGCACAGUCCGCCGGCCUCAAUCCCUCGGGAAAAUGGUCUGAGUGUGAGCAUACAUGUUGGGACCCGAAAGAUGGUGAACUAUGCUUGAGUAGGGUGAAGCCAGGGGAAACUUUGGUGAAGGCUCGCAGCGAUUCUGACGUGCAAAUCGAUCGUCAAACUUGAGUAUAGGGGCGAAAGACUAAUCGAACUAUCUAGUAGCUGGUUCCCUCCGAAAUUUCCCUUAGGAUAGCUGCAAUCUUUAUAUUAGCCAGUUUUGUCA